GGGAGUGAAUUAAAAUGAAAAGCGGGGGAUGUGAAGCCUACUUACCUGGUUCUGGAAACACCGAAGGCAGGGUGCAGGUAAAGGGAGUGAAUUAACGCACGCGUGUUGCUUCAGUGUGCAAGUGAAUUAAAAUUCACUUGCACAGAGCCAAUGCUAAUUAAAUUAACAAAGAAGCAAAAGUUUGCUUACCUGGUGCUGGAGACCGAGGACGCUUACAGUGCUGAUGGAUCCUCGCCCGCUGCUUCCCUUUGUCUUCCUUCUGCGCUCACCUGCCUACAUGUUCCUUUUGUUUUCUCAGCAACUUUGAAGCUGAGAAGGUGAUGAAGAGGCCGACCUGCUUUGAAUUGGUUUUGAUUCUGGGUCUUUCUCUGUCUGCAGGGAUGAAAGGCUCGGCGGGUAGAUAACGGGCGGCAGGCUGAGGGUCGACCACCAUUAAGGCGCCCAUUACUGAAGCCAACGGACGACGAUUACUGCUGCAACGUUCGGCGUCCUUUACUGUAGAAAACGGUCAUUGGGUUAAAGGCGAAGAAGAUGAACAGCGUCUUCAAAACGACGUCGUUCGGCCAUUUGUCCUUUUGAUCCAUGCAGUUUUGAAAGUCUUGUAAUUAAACCCCUGGUUUAAACUGUAAUUGGCCCCCUGCAUUUGCGCGCCUUUUUAAUGUAGUCCUUGGAUUUUAAUUUCGCAA
Long non-coding RNA from Populus trichocarpa (black cottonwood), 686 nucleotides. RefSeq lists it as uncharacterized. Lineage: Eukaryota; Viridiplantae; Streptophyta; Magnoliopsida; Malpighiales; Salicaceae. The record is from RefSeq and is a predicted model, not a curated record. The transcript has 2 exons.